AGAGUUUGAUCCUGGCUCAGAUUGAACGCUGGCGGCAUGCUUUACACAUGCAAGUCGAGCGGCAGCGCGGGGGCAACCCUGGCGGCGAGCGGCGAACGGGUGAGGAAUACAUCGGAACGUACCCCGGAGUGGGGGAUAACGCCGCGAAAGCGGCGCUAAUACCGCAUAUGCUCUGAGGAGGAAAGUGGGGGGACCUGCAAGGGCCUCACGCUCUGGGAGCGGCCGAUGUCCGAUUAGCUAGUUGGUGGGGUAAAGGCCCACCAAGGCGACGAUCGGUAGCUGGUCUGAGAGGAUGAUCAGCCACACUGGGACUGAGACACGGCCCAGACUCCUACGGGAGGCGGCAGGUGGGGUAAUUUUGGACAAUGGGGGCAACCCUGAUCCAGCCAUGCCGCGUGCGGGAAGAAGGCCUUCGGGUUGUAAACCGCUUUUAGUCGGGAAGAAAAGGCAACUCUUAAUACGGGUUGUUCUUGACGGUACCGGCGGAAUAAGCACCGGCUAACUACGUG
This 509-nucleotide ribosomal RNA is filed under the name uncultured bacterium. Its description in RNAcentral is "bacterial SSU rRNA". It matches the Rfam family "Bacterial small subunit ribosomal RNA", at positions 8 to 507 of the family's 1533-position model. The record is from RNAcentral.